UUGAAGCAGAGUGACACCACCACAUUCACAUUCUAGAACAUUCUUUCUGACUCCAGAAGUAUGGCAGAGGUUAAAAGGCUGGAGGCGUGGCAAGGACACCUGGGUGGCUACAGGAAAGUUGGAGAUGGUGUAUGAAAACCAACAGUUCUGGAGGACCUCUUGACUGUGGAGACUGAAGGAAAACAAGUCAGUAUGGAUCCUAGGGCCUCCCUUUGAAGCCCAGUAGCAACAGAUAUGUCUUGAAAGCCCAGUCCAUGCCCUCCAUCAUCUUGAAGAAACCCCUGACAGGUCCACAAGGAAAGGAUCUGAAAUAAAGGGGGAGACGGGGUGUGGAAACUAGGCGGCCUCGGAGACACACUGACCACUUGCCAGAUGCGAGGAUCUCUGGCUGGCUGAUGGCAAGGAAAACCACCGCGGCUCCUCCCUUCGCUUAAGCGUGAAUCAGUCCUGAAAUGUGCCGGAGAAGCCAACAAACACAACAUUGCCUUCACCCGCAUCUCUCAUGCAAAGUGUCCCAAAGAGGCUGGCAGAAUGGAAUUGAGCUGAGUCGCAAUGAGAAAGCAUGCACGCUAUAAAGGAACAUUCGAUAUAGAGGCAAUCACUCCAAGGUGAUUCGUGCCAUCCGUCAGUCAGAGGUAUAAAUCCCAUGGGGCGCA
Non-coding RNA from Peromyscus maniculatus bairdii (prairie deer mouse), 656 nucleotides. The record is from RefSeq and is a predicted model, not a curated record. Lineage: Eukaryota; Metazoa; Chordata; Mammalia; Rodentia; Cricetidae.